GGAGAGAUGGCUGAGUGGUUGAAAGCGACGGUCUUGAAAACCGUUAUGGCGCCUGGCGUCAUCGUGGGUUCGAAUCCCUCUCUCUCCG
RNAcentral lists this transfer RNA (88 nucleotides) under Chloroflexota bacterium. RNAcentral's name for it is "Chloroflexi bacterium (groundwater metagenome) tRNA-Ser". It matches the Rfam family "tRNA". Rfam says of the family: Transfer RNA (tRNA) molecules are approximately 80 nucleotides in length. Their secondary structure includes four short double-helical elements and three loops (D, anti-codon, and T loops). The record is from RNAcentral. Lineage: Bacteria; Bacillati; Chloroflexota.